AGAGUUUGAUCCUGGCUCAGGAUGAACGCUAGCUACAGGCUUAACACAUGCAAGUCGAGGGGCAGCAUGGUCUUAGCUUGCUAAGGCCGAUGGCGACCGGCGCACGGGUGAGUAACGCGUAUCCAACCUGCCUUACACUCUUGGACAGCCUUCUGAAAGGGAGAUUAAUACAAGAUGUUAUCAUGAGUAAGCAUUUUCACAUGAUUAAAGGUUUACCGGUGUAAGAUGGGGAUGCGUUCCAUUAGAUAGUAGGCGGGGUAACGGCCCACCUAGUCUUCGAUGGAUAGGGGUUCUGAGAGGAAGGUCCCCCACAUUGGAACUGAGACACGGUCCAAACUCCUACGGGAGGCAGCAGUGAGGAAUAUUGGUCAAUGGACGAGAGUCUGAACCAGCCAAGUAGCGUGAAGGAUGAAGGUUCUAUGGAUU
Molecule: ribosomal RNA, 426 nt
Filed under: uncultured bacterium
Lineage: Bacteria
Description: bacterial SSU rRNA
Rfam family: Bacterial small subunit ribosomal RNA
Source: RNAcentral